RNA transcript from Myripristis murdjan (pinecone soldierfish), 2924 nucleotides. It is a transcript of the gene named zinc finger protein 316-like, with no coding region annotated. Lineage: Eukaryota; Metazoa; Chordata; Actinopteri; Holocentriformes; Holocentridae. The transcript is spliced from 5 exons. The record is from RefSeq and is a predicted model, not a curated record.
UGAGACAGGAUGGCUAGCUGAACUCCUGCCGGUCCUCUCACUAGUUCGCCAGCCAUAACACUUAAUAAACCAGCCGGCCGUCGGUGAGCCAUGCCGAGCACGGCAGACAUGACGAUGUUUCACUCUCAGUUGUCCUCCAUCAUGGAGAAACUAGUUAUUUCCGCCAUUACAGAGAUCAACAAACUAAUGGUCGAUUACUGUGCCCUGCUGCGUUUGGAGCUGAACCGAGAAAAGCUCGAUAAUGGCAUGCUAAGGAAGAAACUGAGACUGGUCCUAACUAACGCAGACCAGGGAGUACACUUCACCACUGGCGAAUUACUUGACGAGUGUCAAAACGCCGCAGAAAACGGAAGCAACAGAGCAGGACUCCAGCUGUACUCUGGUCAGAGGGAGAGCAUUGCCGGAUGGAAAGAUGGAGCACAAACCACAGAGGCCGAGGAAGCCCUGAGGCUGGCAGACUGCAAGACUGAAGCAGUUAUCGUCAAACAUGAGCAAGUCCAUGAGGAGGCAGCUGCUGACGGACAACUGCAACUCAAAGCUCCUGCACUCUCCCCCGGCUCUCCUCUGGUAUCCCAGCAACAGGAUGCAGCUGAGCCAGGUACCAGCUCGCCGACGGGGUGGCAGUUCUGCAGUCAACCUCCAGAGGGCAGCACAGAGCAGAGCACAAGCUUCAAGCAGGCUGUUGACAUGGAGCAGCAGCUCAGCCUCUCCCCAGCUGCAGGCCAGCUCACUGAUGUGGAGCUCCACAUUAAGAGGGAGGCAGAGAGCCCUGACCUGUCUGCAUCUCCAGGUGUGGAUUUGGAUAAUGGGUUUGAGUUCCAGCCAGGGAUGCUGAGUCAAAUGUACCCCGAUUCCCUGCCUGACACCCCUGUGUUGGCAUAUUACAACUUUUCACUUGCAUCAAAAUCACAGCACACCUCAGCACCAGGAGACCCCCCUGACAUGUCACUCUAUGAACAAUACUCAGCAGACGGAGACGCCUCAGGCCACAGCAGCAGCCAGACAGGAAGUAGGCCGCAUUGCAGCAGGGAACCUUAUCUCAUGGCCUCUCGAGCCAGCGAGUGUAUCAAAUACGUAUGCGAGGACUGUGGGAAGGGCUUCCCCUUCCUGAGUGUGAUGAAGCGCCACCGGCUGACCCACACGGGGGAGAGGACACAGCACUGCGGACAGUGUGGGAUGAGCUUCAUCAGGCGGAGCCACCUCCGGCGCCACGAGCUGCUGCACUCAGGCCUCCGUCCCUUCGCCUGCCAGCUCUGCGGCCGCCAGUUUUCACGCAGGGCCCACCUCAACACACACAUGAAAACCCACCGCAGGUGAAGAGGACACAAUGUUUUGUGCCUGUGCCCGUGAGACAGAGACAGACAGACAGAGUGACAGAGAAAUAGUGAGAGAGGUUAUAGGACAGCAAGUUAAUUCGGGAAGAUCAAUCCAGUUUUUCCUUCUGAUAAUUCCCUAGCCAAAAAACCUCUGCUUCAUAAAACCUUGUUUGAGUAUGUCUUUGGCACCUACUCUGUGUUCUCCACUUCAUUAAAGCAAGUUACAUCUUUGUCUUUUUAACCCUUUGAAACCUGAAAUUGGUCAAACAUGACAAGAAAACCCAAGAAAUAUUGUAAAAGAAAGAAGAAAGAAAAAAGAAAAUUAGCAGAGCUAAAAUGAGCAGGAAAUGUGUAUCAAAGAGUUAAACAUAAAAACAAGAAUACAAAACAAUAGCUGUCAGAUUUGAUGUUCACAAUAGAGGGGGGCCAGUAUCUCAUUUAGGUUUCCUGUUCAGUAAAUUGGCACUAGUAGACCCACAUCUAGUGUACUGACUGUCUAAGUUGCUUUUGACUGAGAUUAUUAAUCCACAUGUUUCUGCAGUGGACGUUAGUAACAUCAGCAGACACAGCUAAGCAUAAACCACAGGUUAUAGCUACAGAAAGAAAUUUGUUACAUAAUUUUAUUAAUGUUUAUGAAUUACAUCAAGUGAUAGUAUGCAUUUUUAAAAUGCCAUACCUGAGUCAUUUCACAAAGUAUACAUUUCAGUGAGUGUCCACAGACCUUUUGCACAGCAGCCACUCUGACAUGAAAUAGCAGGUAAUCUCAGGUGUCACUGGUGAUGUUAAUUCAGGUUCUGUUCUCUCCUCGGAGAAACACCAAAGUGAAGCAGAACCUGCAUUAGUGUCACUAACAGCUGUGUUUACCUGCCAUUUCAUGUCCAAAUGGCUGCUGUGAAAAAGGUGCAUUACAAACCAACUGGUUUUCUUUGUUUCCAUACGUCAGACACAUGUUAGUUUUUUCUUUUGAUACAGCUGUCCGCCUGAGCACACAUGAAUGAUUAUUAUGGCAGGUCUAAAACAGAUCUUAUGGAGUGAGUGAAUGUGAACAAAAAAAUAAAGUUUCUCUUAACUGCAGCCAUGUUUCUGCACAGUUGCGGGGUCCCAACGAGUUCCAGUAUAUAAGCAAACGUGAUCCAAAAAAGUCUGCCUUACACUCAGUGUCCACUUUAUCAGCUCCACCUGUACAAUCUAAUGCAGUUCAGUGCCAUAAAUUCUACCUUUUAGCAAAGUUUAUAAUGUUCAGUUUUGGUUGUAGUUUGCAGAGGUCUUAACUUGGACUACAUUAUAUUGAGGGGUGUUUCUAAUUUUUUCUCCUCCCUAUUUAUAAACAUGAGGGGGGCAGAAUAUCAGAAACACCCCUCAGUAAAAUGCAGUCCAGUACAACAGCAGCACUAACUAUGACAUAGAAGUGAAUGAACACCUCUAUUACUGUGACGACAAGAAAACCUGAGCAUUUCAGGCAGCAGAAAAGUAAACUUAACCAUCACCUACUAACAUUAUGUGUUGGAUGGUUCUCCCUGUUGCUCAUACAGUUCUUUUAUCUGUUUUGUGCAUUUUAGAUAAUACACUGUUUAUAGAUUGUUGUGCUUCAAUUUUCCAAAUUAAUAA